This 335-nucleotide unclassified non-coding RNA is filed under the name soil metagenome. RNAcentral describes it as "partial contains 5.8S ribosomal RNA, internal transcribed spacer 2, and large subunit ribosomal RNA". The stretch from base 1 to 121 matches the Rfam family "5.8S ribosomal RNA", at positions 35 to 154 of the family's 154-position model. The record is from RNAcentral.
GAUGAAGAACGCAGUGAAAUGCGAUAAGUAGUGUGAAUUGCAGAAUUUCCGUGAGUCAUCGAAUCUUUGAACGCACAUUGCGCCCUUUGGUAUUCCUUAGGGCAUGCCUGUUCGAGCGUCAUUUAAACCUUCAAGCUCAGCUUGGUGUUGGGUGACUGUCCGCUUCACCGCGGACUCGCCUCAAAAUUAUUGGCGGCCGGUACAUUGGCUCUCGAGCGCAGCAGAAACGCGUAACUCGAGGUCCUCGUGCUGGCUCCCAGAAGCUAUCUUCACAAUUUUGACCUCGGAUCAGGUAGGGAUACCCGCUAAACUUAAGCAUAUCAAUAAGCGGAGGA